Molecule: ribosomal RNA, 898 nt
Filed under: human gut metagenome
Description: bacterial SSU rRNA
Rfam family: Bacterial small subunit ribosomal RNA
Source: RNAcentral
AGAGUUUGAUCCUGGCUCAGGACGAACGCUGGCGGCGUGCUUAACACAUGCAAGUCGAACGAAGCUUGAUUACGGAUUCUUCGGAUGAAGUAUGAUAUGACUGAGUGGCGGACGGGUGAGUAACGCGUGAGUAACCUGCCCUUCAGAGGGGGAUAGCGUUUGGAAACGAACGGUAAUACCGCAUAAUGUAUUUUGACCGCAUGAUCGAAAUACCAAAGAUUUAUCGCUGAAGGAUGGACUCGCGUCUGAUUAGGUAGUUGGUGGGGUAACGGCCUACCAAGCCGACGAUCAGUAGCCGGACUGAGAGGUUGAUCGGCCACAUUGGGACUGAGACACGGCCCAGACUCCUACGGGAGGCAGCAGUGGGGAAUAUUGCACAAUGGGCGCAAGCCUGAUGCAGCAACGCCGCGUGAAGGAAGACGGUUUUCGGAUUGUAAACUUCUGUUCUUAGUGAAGAAUAAUGACGGUAGCUAAGGAGCAAGCCACGGCUAACUACGUGCCAGCAGCCGCGGUAAUACGUAGGUGGCAAGCGUUGUCCGGAAUUACUGGGUGUAAAGGGAGCGCAGGCGGGUGAUCAAGUCAGCUGUGAAAACUACGGGCUUAACCCGUAGACUGCAGUUGAAACUGUUCAUCUUGAGUGAAGUAGAGGUUGGCGGAAUUCCGAGUGUAGCGGUGAAAUGCGUAGAUAUUCGGAGGAACACCGGUGGCGAAGGCGGCCAACUGGGCUUUAACUGACGCUGAGGCUCGAAAGUGUGGGGAGCAAACAGGAUUAGAUACCCUGGUAGUCCACACUGUAAACGAUGAUUGCUAGGUGUGGGGGGUCUGACCCCUUCCGUGCCGGAGCUAACGCAAUAAGCAAUCCACCUGGGGAGUACGACCGCAAGGUUGAAACUCAAAG